This 433-nucleotide ribosomal RNA is filed under the name uncultured bacterium. Its description in RNAcentral is "partial 16S ribosomal RNA". It matches the Rfam family "Bacterial small subunit ribosomal RNA", at positions 29 to 507 of the family's 1533-position model. The record is from RNAcentral.
AGCGAACGCUGGCGGCAGGCUUAACACAUGCAAGUCGAGCGGGCCUUUCGGGGUCAGCGGCGGACGGGUGAGUAACGCAUGGGAACGUGCCCUCUGGUUCGGAAUAACUCAGGGAAACUUGAGCUAAUACCGGAUACGCCCUUUUGGGGAAAGGCUUGCUGCCGGAGGAUCGGCCCGCGUCUGAUUAGCUAGUUGGUGAGGUAACGGCUCACCAAGGCGACGAUCAGUAGCUGGUCUGAGAGGAUGAUCAGCCACACUGGGACUGAGACACGGCCCAGACUCCUACGGGAGGCAGCAGUGGGGAAUAUUGGACAAUGGGCGCAAGCCUGAUCCAGCCAUGCCGCGUGAGUGAUGAAGGCCUUAGGGUUGUAAAGCUCUUUUAUCCGGGACGAUAAUGACGGUACCGGAGGAAUAAGCCCCGGCUAACUUCGUG